This 253-nucleotide ribosomal RNA is filed under the name uncultured bacterium. Its description in RNAcentral is "partial 16S ribosomal RNA". It matches the Rfam family "Bacterial small subunit ribosomal RNA", at positions 524 to 776 of the family's 1533-position model. The record is from RNAcentral.
UACGUAGGGUGCAAGCGUUGUCCGGAAUUACUGGGCGUAAAGGGCUCGUAGGCGGCCAACUAAGUCCGACGUGAAAUCCCCAGGCUUAACCUAGGAACUGCGUCGGAUACUGGAUGGCUUGAAUUCGGGAGAGGGAUGCAGAAUUCCAGGUGUAGCGGUGAAAUGCGUAGAUAUCUGGAGGAAUACCGGUGGCGAAGGCGGCAUCCUGGACCGACAUUGACGCUGAUGAGCGAAAGCUAGGGGAGCAAACGGG